This 3006-nucleotide long non-coding RNA is filed under the name Ananas comosus (pineapple). Its description in RNAcentral is "long non-coding RNA (ACOM_LNC003163)". The record is from RNAcentral. Lineage: Eukaryota; Viridiplantae; Streptophyta; Magnoliopsida; Poales; Bromeliaceae.
CCUCGUCAGUCUAAUCACACACACAGCCCAAGAUCACCAGGCGAUGUGAGACUCGUCUCGCUAGCCCGUCAUCCAGACCCUGGCUCAGCCGAGACUCGCCACACAUGUCCAGCUGGUGAACCGGCUCUGAUACCAAAUGUAACGACCUAGCCCACUAGCAAUAAUAACUCGUUGGGCCCAACCACAGCCCAAAAUGCUUAAGCCCAGUUAUUAUUACUAGUGUCUAAGUCUCUUAUAAACCCAAUAACAACCCCAUUUCCAUCCGAUGUGGGAUUAUUGGGGUGCCACAGACUCCCCCCGUUAAGGCCCUGACGUCCUCGUCAGUCCAAUCACACACACAGCCCAAGAUCACCAGGCAAUGUGAGACUCGUCUCGCUAGCCCGUCAUCCAGACCCUGGCUCAGCCGAGACUCGCAACACAUGUCCAGCUGGUGAACCGGCUCUGAUACCAAAUGUAACGACCCAGCCCACUAGCAACAAUAACUCGUUGGGCCCAACCACUGGCCCAAAAUGCUUAAGCCCAAUUAUUAUUACUAGUGUCUACUAAGUCUCUUAUAAACCCAAUGACAACCCCUUUCCCAUCCGAUGUGGGACUAUUGGGGUGUCACAAUCAUGUGGUUUUACUGAUUUUUGUUUCAUAAGUUGUUCAUGCUUCUCAUGUUUUGUGGCCCCUAGGAUUAUCUAGCAUCUAUAUAUCAAUUUGCUGAAAAUUUUUGGAAUUAAAGAAAUGUUCUUAUGUUUCAUAUGUAAAAUUCAUUAUGUUUAAUAGGUGAUUUUUCGAAAAUGUCCUCGUGGAUUCUUGUACUUGUGGUCCUUAUGGCUGGGGGUGGUCGCGGAAGCAAACGACGGCGCUCCAAAGCUAAACGGCCGGUUGAGCAACAACCAGAAGAUGAAGGGAGCGAAUAUGCUCCAGGCGACGAAUCUGAAGAGGACGAGCCGGAUUGGGAGGCUUUUGCUCCUGAGGUGUUAGCUAAGGAUAAGGAUACAGGAAAAGGAAAAGGAAAAGGAAAAGACGUGGAUAAAGGCAAAGGAAAGGCAACUGAACGUACCGGUCGUCGCAAGUCUGGGGGUGUUGAAAUUAGAGAACCAGGUUCUGAGCCUCCGCGUCAUAGUCUGCAGGAUGUUCCGUCUGCUCGAAGGUCAAUGUACUCGUCGAAGCAUUGUAUUGGAGAGCGCGGUGUUGGUGUGGCCAGUAUCAUUGAUUGUGUGCCGGGAUUUCAGGAUUUAUUUGAAAAAGAAAAUCUUCAUCAGAUUUGUGAUUUUCCGGAACAAACUGGAUUCUGUUUGGAGUUGAUUAGAGAGUUCUAUAUGCGAGCAGGUUACUUGAAUGACUCCGACGGGGGCCCGUACGUAUUCACAUACAAUUAAUUCCUAGGUCUUGCAUUAUGUGUAGAAUUUUAUUUUAUAUGUAUUUAGAAUUUUCAUUGAUUAUCGGGUCAACAAUUUUGCCAAAUUGAAUAUCCUUGAUAUUGAUUUUUCAAAACUUAUUUAUGAAAUUUUAUUUGAAAUUUUUGGGGAUGGAAAUUGGUUAUUUAUGUUGAUUGAACAUUGUGGAAUUACUUGUAAUUUUUCUGAAAAAAAUUUUGAGCUUAAAUUAAAAAUUUUUCAAAAUUAAGGCUCUGGGACCGGUCCCAGGCAAGAGAGACCGAUCCCUCCGCCCGAACCAGAUAUAAAGGUUUGCGGUCUUUCAUAUGUUACUUUACCAAUUUCGUUCAUCUUCUUCUCCUGAGCUUCUAAUACUCCCAGAGUGAUUUUGGUUUCCUCUUUCAUCAUUUUACACUGAUUUUAAGUAUGAUUUUCGAAUUUUGUUGCAUUUAUAUCAUAUACUCCGAAAAUGUGUUUCGUUUUAGAUUUUGUGGUGGUUUUUCCUAAAGAUCUAGCUGAUUCUGUCAUUUAGAGUUUCGAUCUUGUUAUUAGAUUUGUUCUCUUCAUAUUGUCUUGUAUUUCUUCAUCUUUUGAUCAAUUUUUGUAGGUUUUCAUCUUCAAAACUUAGUUUUUUCAAAAUUUUUGGGAAUCAUUGUAACGACCCAGCCCACUAGCAAUAAUAACUCGUUGGGCCCAAACACCAGCCCAAAAAUGCUUAAGCCCAGUUAUUAUUACUAGUGUCUAAGUCUCUUAUAAACCCAAUGACAACCCCUUUCCCAUCCGAUGUGGGACUAUGUCACAGACUCCCCCCGUUAAGGCCCUGACGUCCUCGUCAGUUCAAUCACACACACAGCCCAAGAUCACCAGGCGAUGUGAGACUCGUCUCGCUAGCCCGUCAUCCAGACCCUGGCUCAGCCGAGACUCGCCACACAUGUCCAGCUGGUGAACCGGCUCUGAUACCAAAUGUAACGACCCAGCCCACUAGCAACAAUAACUCGUUGGGCCCAACCACCGGCCCAAAAUGCUUAAGCCCAGUUAUUAUUACUAGUGUCUAAGUCUCUUAUAAACCCAAUGACAACCCCAUUCCCAUCCGAUGUGGGACUAUUGGGGUGUCACAGACUCCCCCCGUUAAGGCCCUGACGUCCUCGUCAGUCCAAUCACACACACAGCCCAAGAUCACCAGGCGAUGUGAGACUCGUCUCGCUAGCCCGUCAUCCAGACCCUGGCUCAGCCGAGACUCGCCACACAUGUCCAGCUGGUGAACCGGCUCUGAUACCAAAUGUAACGACCCAGCCCACUAGCAACAAUAACUCGUUGGGCCCAAACCAACAGCCCAAAAUGCUUAAGCCCAGUUAUUAUUACUAGUGUCUAAGUCUCUUAUAAACCCAAUAACAACCCCAUUUCCAUCCGAUGUGGGAUUAUUGGGGUGCCACAGACUCCCCCCGUUAAGGCCCUGACGUCCUCGUCAGUCCAAUCACACACACAGCCCAAGAUCACCAGGCAAUGUGAGACUCGUCUCGCUAGCCCGUCAUCCAGACCCUGGCUCAGCCGAGACUCGCAACACAUGUCCAGCUGGUGAACCGGCUCUGAUACCAAAUGUAACGACCCAGCCCACUAGCAACAAUAACUCGUUGGGCCCAAC